Centrocercus urophasianus (Greater sage-grouse) is the source of this 296-nucleotide long non-coding RNA. RefSeq lists it as uncharacterized. Lineage: Eukaryota; Metazoa; Chordata; Aves; Galliformes; Phasianidae. The transcript is spliced from 3 exons. The record is from RefSeq and is a predicted model, not a curated record.
CCAAAAACAAUUCUGCUUCACUCAACUUGAGCCAGGCAAGCCAGAAGGGUAUUUCAAAGCAGCCCAGCACUCACAGCCCUGGCUGAGGAAGGUGGGAGAAAAAAGCAUUCCCAGGCUUUACAGAAUGCCUCCAUUGCCCCAACCUCUUCAGCCAUUUACCCAGAAGACAGAUGAUCAGAAACAUACGACUUGCUGCAAGAGGCAGCCCUCGGUGGGGCCGAGAACCGUGCCAGCGGAGCCGCAGGACGUGCAGAGCCGUCCCAUCGCCGUCUCAUCCCUGUCCCAUCGCCGUCUCA